AUUGAACGCUGGCGGCAGGCCUAACACAUGCAAGUCGAACGAGUGGCGGACGGGUGAUUAAUGUCUGGGACACUGCCUGAUGGAGGGGGAUAACUCCUGGAAACGGUAGCUAAUACCGCAUACCAUCGGAUGUUCCCAGAUGGGAUUAGCUAGUCGGUUGGGUAAAGGCUCACCUAGGCGACGAUCCCUAGCUGGUCUGAGAGGAUGACCAGCCAAACUGGAACUGAGACACGGUCCAGACUCCUAAGGGAGGCAGCAGUGGGGAAUAUUGAACAAUGGGCGCAAGACUGAUGCAGCCAUGCCGCGUGUAUGAAGAAGGCCUUCGGGUUGUAAAGUACUUUCAGCGGGGAGGCGUUACCCGCAGAAGAAGCACCGGCUAACUCCGUGCCAGCAGCCGCGGUAAUAC
Molecule: ribosomal RNA, 406 nt
Filed under: uncultured bacterium
Lineage: Bacteria
Description: partial 16S ribosomal RNA
Rfam family: Bacterial small subunit ribosomal RNA
Source: RNAcentral